RNA transcript from Vigna angularis (adzuki bean), 1090 nucleotides. RefSeq lists it as uncharacterized. The transcript is spliced from 2 exons. NCBI's taxonomy places the organism in Eukaryota, Viridiplantae, Streptophyta, Magnoliopsida, Fabales, Fabaceae. The record is from RefSeq and is a predicted model, not a curated record.
ACAAACAACUUUGGUGUGCAAGGAUAUCUUUCUUUCUUUAACUAAUGUCCACAUACAUACUUCCUUGUCAGCAAAUUGGUUUGGACGUUUCCUCUUUUCCUUUUGCACAUUUUCAAAGAAACCAAAUUCCUUUUGGCUUGCUGACCAUACCUUCCCACGUGAAACUUUAGUGUACCAUGCUAUGGACAGCUUAAGUGUGUGGACAGCUUACAUGAAUUAAGUAAGUGGUGGCUCUUCUUGCUAGGAACGUGUGGAGUAUAAAAAUCUGAAAGACUUAGCUCCCUUUUUCACGUGAAAGCCAUCUUUCCUCUCCAUACCUUGAGUGCAUGUGGGACAUGGUGUCCCCCAUAUUUCUCCAACGAAAUAUUCCUUUCCAAAGUGUUGCUUGAUUAAAUGCUUUUCUACUUUUCAGAAUUAUUCCCCAUAUGACAAAUAUAAUAACCGUGAGUGGUGGCCCUAUUUCUGCUGGAAUACCGUGUGCACCUCUUCAACACCAUUUCUAUUUUAUUCAUCAAUUCACACCAAUUCCCUCCUCCAUUUAACGUGUUCUCUAAGUCCAUCUAUGUGCACUUCCACUUGCAGCUUGGUUCUCCAAAGCACACACCUAAAGCCUAUCCACGUUAGACAUGCAUGCUGAGAAUUAUUCCAGUUGAGGAGCUGCUACUGCUGCUGGCCGGACGUGUUGAAGCUUCUUCUCCCUUAGCAAGCUGCUGCUUCUUCUUUCUCCGAUCACCAUGCAGCUGCUGGACGUGCUGGACCAACAUUGAAUUGGAUAUUGGAAUUAGUUGUUUCGGAGGUUGCUGCUUGUCAUGACGCGGUUCUAAAGUUUAUGCUUACUCUUUUGGAUGACAUGCACGAUGUCUCCCCCCACUGUAUAUUUGGCUGAUCAUUUUAACUCUGUACUCCCCAAUUUUGAUGAAUACUUUGUGUACUUCUAUUUAACCCCUGACUGUGUUCUUGGUAGGGGUUGGUAAAGAAAUACUGGUAUUGGCCUUUUGUAUGUGUGUGUUUUUGUAGAUGGUGAUUAACGUAAUAGUGCAGGAACUUGGAAGCCUUUGACUUGAGAUAUGGAUAUGAUUGAAAUGUGUUU